Molecule: ribosomal RNA, 253 nt
Filed under: uncultured bacterium
Lineage: Bacteria
Description: partial 16S ribosomal RNA
Rfam family: Bacterial small subunit ribosomal RNA
Source: RNAcentral
UACAUGGGGUGCAAACGUUGCUCGGAAUUAUUGGGCGUAAAGAGCUCGUAGGCGGUCUGUCGCGUCGGCUGUGAAAACUCGGGGCUCAACCCCGAGCCUGCAGUCGAUACGGGCAGACUAGAGUGCUGUAGGGGAGACUGGAAUUCCUGGUGUAGCGGUGAAAUGCGCAGAUAUCAGGAGGAACACCGGUGGCGAAGGCGGGUCUCUGGGCAGUAACUGACGCUGAGGAGCGAAAGCGUGGGGAGCGAACAGG